UGUUAAAAAUUUCAUCCAUUUCUAUUGUUAAAAAUGCGUUGCUGAUGUAAGAACUAGUCAGUUACAUGUGGCAUGCCUCAUGUACCUUAUGCUGACAUAUAGGGGCAAGUUUUUAAUAAUAAAAAUAGAUGAAAUUUUUAACA
Gossypium hirsutum (cotton) is the source of this 143-nucleotide non-coding RNA. Lineage: Eukaryota; Viridiplantae; Streptophyta; Magnoliopsida; Malvales; Malvaceae. The record is from Rfam.